This 433-nucleotide ribosomal RNA is filed under the name uncultured bacterium. RNAcentral's name for it is "partial 16S ribosomal RNA". It matches the Rfam family "Bacterial small subunit ribosomal RNA", at positions 29 to 507 of the family's 1533-position model. The record is from RNAcentral.
AGCGAACGCUGGCGGCAGGCCUAACACAUGCAAGUCGAACGAACUCUUCGGAGUUAGUGGCGGACGGGUGAGUAACACGUGGGAACGUGCCUUUAGGUUCGGAAUAACUCAGGGAAACUUGUGCUAAUACCGAAUGUGCCCUUCGGGGGAAAGAUUUAUCGCCUUUCGAGCGGCCCGCGUCUGAUUAGCUAGUUGGUGAGGUAAAGGCUCACCAAGGCGACGAUCAGUAGCUGGUCUGAGAGGAUGAUCAGCCACAUUGGGACUGAGACACGGCCCAAACUCCUACGGGAGGCAGCAGUGGGGAAUCUUGCGAAAUGGGCGAAAGCCUGACGCAGCCAUGCCGCGUGAAUGAUGAAGGUCUUAGGAUUGUAAAAUUCUUUCAACGGGGACGAUAAUGACGGUACCCGGAGAAGAAGCCCCGGCUAACUUCGUG